UUUCCGUAGGUGAACCUGCGGAAGGAUCAUUAUUGCAUAACCGAGGUGCAAGGGCUGUCGCUGACCCGAAAGGUCGUGCACGCCCGAGUGCCCUCACACACAUCCAUCUCACCCCUAUGUGCACCACCGCGUGGGUCCCCCUUUGGCUUGUUCGGAGGGGGGCUUACGUUUUCACACAAACUUUGUAUGCAGUGUAGAAUGUAUUUUUUGUUUUUGCGAUCACGCAAUCAAUACAACUUUCAACAACGGAUCUCUUGGCUCUC
This 263-nucleotide unclassified non-coding RNA is filed under the name plant metagenome. RNAcentral describes it as "partial contains small subunit ribosomal RNA, internal transcribed spacer 1, and 5.8S ribosomal RNA". The record is from RNAcentral.